UGGGAAUAUUGGACAAUGGGGGAAACCCUGAUCCAGCCAUGCCGCGUGAAGGAUGAAGGCCUUCGGGUCGUAAACUUCUUUUAGCAGGGAAAAAGGGAAACUUGAUGGUACCUGCAGAAAAAGCACCGGCUAACUCCGUGCCAGCAGCCGCGGUAAUACGGAGGGUGCAAGCGUUGCUCGGAAUUAUUGGGCGUAAAGCGCGUGUAGGCGGCUUUAUAAGUCUGGUGUGAAAUCCCGGAGCUUAACUUCGGAACUGCACUGGAUACUGUAAGGCUAGAGGGCGAGAGAGGAUGGUGGAAUUCCUGGUGUAGGGGUGAAAUCCGUAGAUAUCAGGAGGAACAUCAGUGGCGAAGGCGGCCAUCUGGCUCGUACCUGACGCUGAGACGCGAAAGCGUGGGGAGCAAAC
This 406-nucleotide ribosomal RNA is filed under the name uncultured bacterium. RNAcentral's name for it is "bacterial SSU rRNA". It matches the Rfam family "Bacterial small subunit ribosomal RNA", at positions 356 to 773 of the family's 1533-position model. The record is from RNAcentral.